GACGAACGCUGGCGGCGUACUUAACACAUGCAAGUCGAACGGAAAGGCCCUGCUUUUGUGGGGUGCUCGAGUGGCGAACGGGUGAGUAACACGUGAGUAACCUGCCCUUGACUUUGGGAUAACUUCAGGAAACUGGGGCUAAUACCGGAUAGGAGCUCCUGCUGCAUGGUGGGGGUUGGAAAGUUUCGGCGGUUGGGGAUGGACUCGCGGCUUAUCAGCUUGUUGGUGGGGUAGUGGCUUACCAAGGCUUUGACGGGUAGCCGGCCUGAGAGGGUGACCGGCCACAUUGGGACUGAGAUACGGCCCAGACUCCUACGGGAGGCAGCAGUGGGGAAUAUUGCACAAUGGGCGGAAGCCUGAUGCAGCAACGCCGCGUGCGGGAUGACGGCCUUCGGGUUGUAAACCGCUUUCGCCUGUGACGAAGCGUGAGUGACGGUAAUGGGUAAAGAAGCACCGGCUAACUACGUGCCAGCAGCCGCGGUGAUACGUAGGGUGCGAGCGUUGUCCGGAUUUAUUGGGCGUAAAGGGCUCGUAGGUGGUUGAUCGCGUCGGAAGUGUAAUCUUGGGGCUUAACCCUGAGCGUGCUUUCGAUACGGGUUGACUUGAGGAAGGUAGGGGAGAAUGGAAUUCCUGGUGGAGCGGUGGAAUGCGCAGAUAUCAGGAGGAACACCAGUGGCGAAGGCGGUUCUCUGGGCCUUUCCUGACGCUGAGGAGCGAAAGCGUGGGGAGCGAACAGGCUUAGAUACCCUGGUAGUCCACGCUGUAAACGGUGGGUACUAGGUGUGGGGUCCAUUCCACGGGUUCCGUGCCGUAGCUAACGCUUUAAGUACCCCGCCUGGGGAGUACGGCCGCAAGGCUAAAACUCAAAGGAAUUGACGGGGCCCCGCACAAGCGGCGGAGCAUGCGGAUUAAUUCGAUGCAACGCGUAGAACCUUACCUGGGUUUGACAUGGAUCGGGAGUGCUCAGAGAUGGGUGUGCCUCUUUUGGGGUCGGUUCACAGGUGGUGCAUGGCUGUCGUCAGCUCGUGUCGUGAGAUGUUGGGUUAAGUCCCGCAACGAGCGCAACCCUUGUUCACUGUUGCCAGCACGUUAUGGUGGGGACUCAGUGGAGACCGCCGGGGUCAACUCGGAGGAAGGUGGGGAUGACGUCAAGUCAUCAUGUCCCUUAUGUCCAGGGCUUCACGCAUGCUACAAUGGCUGGUACAGAGAGUGGCGAGCCUGUGAGGGUGAGCGAAUCUCGGAAAGCCGGUCUCAGUUCGGAUUGGGGUCUGCAACUCGACCUCAUGAAGUCGGAGUCGCUAGUAAUCGCAGAUCAGCAACGCUGCGGUGAAUACGUUCCCGGGGCU
Molecule: ribosomal RNA, 1346 nt
Filed under: uncultured bacterium
Lineage: Bacteria
Description: partial 16S ribosomal RNA
Rfam family: Bacterial small subunit ribosomal RNA
Source: RNAcentral